CACGGGGCACGCUAAUCCUGUGGGAAGCAGGGAGGUCCACCUCCCAAGGCUAAAUACUCUUGGCGACCGAUAGUGUACAAGUACCGUGAGGGAAAGGUGAAAAGAACCCCUGUUAGGGGAGUGAAAUAGAACCUGAAACCGUAUGCCUACAAGCAGUGGGAGCACUAUGCUGACUGAAAACCCCAACGAUGUUGGGAUUGUCGGAAGGUGUGACCGCGUGCCUUUUGGAGAAUGAGCCGGCGAGUUAAUCUCUGUGGCCAGGUUAAGGCAGUGACAGCCGGAGCCGUAGCGAAAGCGAGUCUGAACAGGGCGUGGCCCUUCGGGGCCGGAGUCGCAGGGAUUAGACCCGAAACCAGGUGAGCUACCCAUGGCCAGGGUGAAGCGAAGGUAACGCUUCGUGGAGGCCCGAACCUUUAGCAGUUGCAAAUGCUUGGGAUGAGCUGUGGGUAGAGGUGAUAUGCCAAACGAACCUGGAGAUAGCUUGUUCUCCCCGAAAUAGCUUUAGGGCUAGCCUCAAGCGUUUAGUGGCGGAGGUAGAGCACUGGAUUGGCUAGGGGGCUAAUCGCUUACCAAACCAAACCAAACUCCGAAUGCCGUCACUUCAGAGCUUGGGAGUCGGACUGCGGGAGAUGAGUUUCGUGGUCGAGAGGGAAACAGCCCAGACCGUCAGCUAAGGUCCUCAAGUCUAGGCUAAGUGGGAAAGGAUGUAGGAUUGCCUGGACAGCCAGGAGGUUGGCCUAGAAGCAGCCAUCCUUUAAAGAGUGCGUAACAGCUCACUGGUCAAGCGAUCCUGCGCCGAAAAUGUAACGGGGCUCAAGCCUAGCACCGAAGCUACGGGUCCUUCGACAUCUUGUCGAAGGGCGGUAGGGGAGCGUUCUGCAGGGCGUAGAAGCCAGACCGUGAGGACUGGUGGAGCAUGCAGAAGUGAGAAUGCCGGCAUGAGUAGCGCAAAACACGUGAGAACCGUGUUCGCCGUAAGUCUAAGGUUUCCUAGGGCAAUGUCAAUCAGCCCAGGGUUAGUCGGGCCUAAGCCGAGGCCGAAAGGCGUAGGCGAUGGACAACGGGUUAAUAUUCCCGUACCACGUCGGGUCGUUCACCUUCGGGUGUGAAGCGAUGGGGGGACGCAGAAGGGUAGGCCAGCCUGUUAUUGGAUUCAGGUGCCAAGCCUGUAGGGAGAUGAAGGCAGUAGGCAAAUCCGCUGCCGGAUCCUGAGAGGUGAUAGGCGGUGCCCAUAGGGCCGCAAGUGGCUGAGCCCAUGCUGCCGAGAAAAGCCCCUAGCGAGACCCACGUGCCCGUACCGCAAACCGACACUGGUAGACGGGUAGAGUAUACCAAGGCGAUCGGGAGAACCCUCGUUAAGGAACUAGGCAAAAUAACCCCGUAACUUCGGGAGAAGGGGUGCCCCGGUAGGGUGAGGUGCUAAACGCAACCGAGCCCGAAGGGGUCGCAGUGAAAUGGCCCUGCCGACUGGUUACCAAAACCACAGGUCUCUGCUAAAGCGUAAGCUGAUGUAUAGGGGCUGACGCCUGCCCAGUGCCGGAAGGUUAAGGGGAAGGGUCAUGCUGGCUUCGGCCAGCGGCAGCUCUGAACCGAAGCCCCGGUGAACGGCGGCCGUAACUAUAACGGUCCUAAGGUAGCGAAAUUCCUUGUCGGGUAAGUUCCGACCCGCACGAAUGGCGUAACGACUGGGGCACUGUCUCAACGAGGGACCCGGCGAAAUUGAAAUAGGUGUGAAGAUGCGCGUUACCCGCAGCAGGACAAAA
This 1763-nucleotide ribosomal RNA is filed under the name Deltaproteobacteria bacterium. Its description in RNAcentral is "partial 23S ribosomal RNA". It matches the Rfam family "Bacterial large subunit ribosomal RNA", at positions 416 to 2085 of the family's 2925-position model. Lineage: Bacteria; Pseudomonadati; Myxococcota; Myxococcia. The record is from RNAcentral. RNAcentral also lists the same sequence under 1 other name.